RNAcentral lists this ribosomal RNA (427 nucleotides) under uncultured Burkholderiales bacterium. RNAcentral's name for it is "bacterial SSU rRNA". It matches the Rfam family "Bacterial small subunit ribosomal RNA", at positions 355 to 774 of the family's 1533-position model. Lineage: Bacteria; Pseudomonadati; Pseudomonadota; Betaproteobacteria; Burkholderiales. The record is from RNAcentral.
UGGGGAAUUUUGGACAAUGGGGGAAACCCUGAUCCAGCCAUGCCGCGUGCAGGAUGAAGGCCUUCGGGUUGUAAACUGCUUUUGUACGGAACGAAAAGCCUCUUUUUAAUAAAGAGAGGUCAUGACGGUACCGUAAGAAUAAGCACCGGCUAACUACGUGCCAGCAGCCGCGGUAAUACGUAGGGUGCAAGCGUUAAUCGGAAUUACUGGGCGUAAAGCGUGCGCAGGCGGUUAUGCAAGACAGAUGUGAAAUCCCCGGGCUCAACCUGGGAACUGCAUCAGUGACUGCAUAGCUAGAGUGCGGCAGAGGGGGAUGGAAUUCCGCGUGUAGCAGUGAAAUGCGUAGAUAUGCGGAGGAACACCGAUGGCGAAGGCAAUCCCCUGGGCCUGCACUGACGCUCAUGCACGAAAGCGUGGGGAGCAAACA